AUGGGCCGUACGAUGUCCGUCGUGCGGUCUGCGGCUACUGUGAUUUCCGCCGCUCGGCUGAAGCCGUCUCGCCCCCCACGCAGCUGCCUACCUGGCUUCUUCGCCGACGUGUCCCAGCGCCGUGCCAUGCCUUUCCGCUGCUAUGCCGCCGCCGCUGCGUCCCUCUUUGCGGCGUCCGCUCGCUUCCCCGCCGACGCGUGCGCCGCCUUCCGAAUGCCGCGUGGCCCACCGUCCCGAGCCUCCUCGCUUCCCCCCGCGUCACGGCGCCGCCGCGGCCCUGCCAGUCACACCGCCGCAGCCCAGCCCUCCAUCCGCGCCCCCGCCGGCCCUCCAUCCCGCCCCACCUCUGCCGCCUAGCGCCGCCGCCGGCCGUUCCGGUCUUCCACGCAUUAGCAACCCAGCCAGCCGCACCACCGCGGGACGGCCCUCCAUCCGAGCCGCCGCUGUCCAGUGAUCCGGUCCCAUCAUCCCCGCCGCUGCCGCUGCGUGCUGCGGAUAGGAGGCCCUCGCCCCAUCCGCUCCGUCACAUCUCGCUCCCUUCUCCUCGUGACUUCGCCGUCACCACAUUUGAUGGAUCCAUUCAUAGAUCCCUGGGUCCCAGGUCCCUGAAAAUGAGGCAUUACCAUCUCCCUAGUAUUGGGAAAUUUGGUUGAUGUACGGUUCAAUUUUUUUAGUCUGUAGUCCGUUUUGAUGUAGAGUGGUUCGAUUCGGUGAUUGCAAGUGCUUAAUUUGAUGAUAAGAAAGCUGAUUCAGCUGCAACAGUUGCUGCCCCUGAAGAGCAAUCUACAAGCACCCUUGGCCUUCCUGUUGUAGCAUCUGGCUGCGCACGAUGCUGAGUUGCUGAAGACACCAUUGAGGACCUUCCUGAAAUCAGAAUACAUUGAGUUUCUGCUUUCAGCUUACCUACUAUCGCAGGGCGAUCAAUCGUCAGUGGUGCAUGGUUCUACAGAAUCACUACUGAAUCACUGAAGACUCAAGAAGUACCUUUGUCAUCCUCCUCUAUGUUGCUCGCUCAAAUGCUAUCUAAAUGUAUGUUCUGAUAGUUCUGUAUAAAACAGGAACCACUACGCGCGCAUGGGCGCACGCCAAUCACUAGUAAAACUAGAAAACCUCGCGGCUUUGCAGCCGCGAGUGGCCAGUGGAUGUACCUGUGGUAGGGUUUUUUUUUCAUGUGUGAUUGUAUAAAUAUUUUUAUAAACAAAUUGUAGAAACACUUUGAGUUUUGAGCAACUUUUUUAUCAAUCACUUUUUUUAUUUGAAGA
Panicum virgatum (switchgrass) is the source of this 1262-nucleotide long non-coding RNA. RefSeq lists it as uncharacterized. Lineage: Eukaryota; Viridiplantae; Streptophyta; Magnoliopsida; Poales; Poaceae. The record is from RefSeq and is a predicted model, not a curated record. The transcript is spliced from 2 exons.